ACAUGCCCCCGACCGGAAUCGAACCCGGGACCCCCCAGUCCACAGGCCGAGGCUCCAUCCACUGAGCCAAACCGGUUUCGGCAAUAUCCCGAUCUUAAUAAAACAGGGGUACCUGAGCAUUAGGGGCCAGGAGAACAGGUUAGAAAGGUGCAGAAGCCACUUCACAGAGAAGUGCUUCAUUGGGAGUGCCCAGCAGGGAGAAGCGCUGCUCCAGUGGCGCUCAGGGGUUUGCCAGGUUGUAGCCUAAAGUUUCAGAGAUUCUGUGUAUUGUGAUACUUGGAAUGAGAUUGUUUACUUUAAGGCCCAGCAGAUCCCAUUAACCAUUCCCUUACCUUUAAAGGGCCCUGGCCUCUAGGAUGUUGACAUGGCUCUAAAAUGCAUGACUAACUUAACAUUUUAAUACAGUUAUUGGGGAAAGGUUUUGACAAGAAUGUUGGGAGGCUGUGCCAAGAUGCAUAUUUGAGAAAUGCCCAAACUGAGGCCAAGAGGCUACUGCUCCCAAAAUACUCAAACAGAUGGGUUUGGGAUAUUUGCAUGGGUGAUUCCAGAAGAUUUGCAGUAGCGAUGGAGUUAGCUAAAUAUGGUCAGUUCUCCACACAAAAGUGGCUGGUUAUUCUGUAUGUUUUGCCAAAGGGCAGGGGAGAAGCAGUAGACAGAAAAAGAAAAGGCAUGUCUUUUAUCUAGAUUCCUCUCCUUUAAAACAAAGAGUGUUUUACAUCCCAUGUAUAAGGCUAUGUUCUUGUUCAUGGAGUAGAAGUUCAUUUGUUAAGCUCUAGAUCUAUGGAAUUGAAUUGACUUCCUGACACAUCUUCAUGAAUUGCUGUAAAAAAAAUAUCGCAGAAAACAUAUAUGCACAACCCACAGAUACAGACAACAGGGAGGUGGUGGCCAGAGGAAGGGGUGUGGGACCUGGGUGGAGGUGGCAAGAGGAGGGGUGGGGGAUGGGGACAUUUGUAAUAGUGUCAACAAUAAAAAUAAAGUUAAAAAUACAUUUUGAUGGGUUUCAUAGAGGCAGAUUAGAGAACAGGGAUUUAUUCAUUCCAGGCUAGCUGGAGUACACAUGUUAAACACUUUGAAGAAUACAGAGCUGAAUGGACAUGGUACCUUAGUUGUCCAAAAUCAUAAUCAAGUAAAGAUACAAUAGUUAAAUUCCUAUUAGUUAAAUUCGCAUGGCAGAAAAAGCAUCUUAAAAGGAGAGAUUUAUUCCUCUUUGGAUCUGGAGAAAUCAUUCAGCCAUGAUUGAUUUGGAAACACAUCUUGGAAAAGGUGGCAUUUAAACUGAACCUUACAGGAUGAGCAGGCCUUUUUCAGACAGAUGGAGGAAGACGGGGAGGGUAGAUACACAGCUUCUCUUUAGUGUCUAUUCUGUAAUGUGUGAGACCUGUGAGCCUUUUUUUUUGGUUCAAGGAGUUGCUUUAUCUUGGGGAGCAGACAGACUCUAAGAAGUGGGAUUCUGCAGCUGGCUAAGCAGCAUCAUGGCAUUCGAUAGAAAAUUCAUAAACUGUGAACACUGUCUUCAUUUCAUUUUUCUUACUGAGCGGCCAUGUAGGCAGCAAUGACCUUAGCUCUGCCACUAGUUCCAUGCCCUUCGACAAGGCACUUGAUUUCUGAGCCUCGGCUCUCUCACCUGGCUCCCACAGGGUUAGGUAAUAAGAGGACCAAACUAGAAUGAACACUUUCAGACAGGGGGAAAUAUUUUGCAAACUGUAGAGUUCUACACAAAUGUCAGCUGUAAUUUUGUUGUCUGGUUGUCCUUGUUCCGUGGCCAGGAGCCACCUGAUGAGACCAGAAGGGUAUGUUGACCGCCCGUGCCACUUUUAGGGGCUGGUUCAGUAACCAAACUGCCCUUCAGCUGGGUUUUAAAACCUGUUACUGGUUUUUUAAACACCACGUGGGUAUAAAUAUUCAUCAGAGGCUAGGGCCUCUGGCAGGCCUAGAGAACUUGGGAGUGGAGAAGCAGAAAUCAUGGAGCUUGUGUAGAGGACUUUCCCCUUCAUUCUGGGGUAAGAUUGGAUUCUAUCAACAGUGAAGAGGCUGCAUGUCCUCGAGAAAAUACGUACGUAAACAAAGCUUAAUUGAAGUCUUUAAGGAAAUCCUAACAUAUUGGAACAGUAUAAUUAGUAAGGAAGGGUUCACUUAAUUAAAAAAGAAAAAGCAUAGUUUACUGAAGUCAGUUUUGUAUAACUGCUUAUAGGAUAGUUUUAUUUAAUUUGAAGCCUAGCAGUAGUUUAAACUUUUGUUAAAGUAGCAUGUAAAAGAGACUAACUUUUCUAUUCUCUUGGAUACAUUAUUAAAAUUCUUGGAGGCUUUAAUAUAAUGUUAUAUUCUGAAAGAAUUUUCUCUGGAUUCUGUGUAGAAGCUUGCAUCUAUUAUGUUAGUGAAAAAAUUUUGAGAGGGAAUCAAAUCUGUUCCUAGUCCACUCACAGCAUGCCUUCAUGACCAAAGUGUAGUCAAAAGCAUAGUCUAUUUGAAAAUUUAAAGUACAUUCUUGUUUCUACUCCCACCACAGAAACCCUGGCAGGUGGGGGUGGGUUUGGCCACUCUCUGGCCAGCCCUGAGCCAGACACCACCAUUGUAAGGAAACUCCACCAGAAAUUCAACUCGUUUCUCCAAAAAAAAAAAAAAAAGAAAGAAAAUUUAAAGUACAGUCUUCUAAAAGUAUACCUCGGAGCUGGGGUCUUCCAACUUCAUUAUACAACUGAACCACAUAGGUCACUUCUUACAAAUGCAGCUUCUUAAGCUGCAGUCUUGGGUAUUCUGAUUCAGUGGGUCUGGCAACCUGUAUUUCUAGGAGGCCUCCAGGCCCUUCUGAUGCAGGUGGCCCAUGUCACCAGAAUGCCACCCCAGAUACCUGCCCUGUCCGUCCUCUCCCUACAAAUGCCCUCAGGAAAAUCAAGUGCCUUUGUAAUGAAUUUUCAUGGGCCUUGACAACCUUAUACAUAAUUUAUGAGUUUUUCUAAAAGCCAUAAGGCCCACAUGUAUCCUUGGGUACGUGCCACACAGAUGCACUGAUGAACAGAAUUCUUAGUCCCUAACCAGCCAGGAAGAAUUCUAUAGGUCAGCUCGGAAUGCAAUUUCAUUUAUUUCUGAGGCAGAAUCUUUUUUUCCUUCAAGGUUGAUCUCUUGGGUCAAUCUCCUUUUGUCAAAUCUUGCCUCCCUGUCUCACUCCAUGUAGCAAAUUAAUGUUCCCUCUCUUUGCUACCAUUGCAUCUUGCGUUCUGCAUGGCUAUGUGCCCCCCGUGUUACACAGAUGUCUGGAGAUAAGGGAUAGUGUUCUUUAUCUUUGAAACCACACUCUCUGACACAUACUCAACAGAAGUUUUGUUGAAUGAUUCAUGUCUUUGGGUUAAUGUACUCUCUUCUCCCCUCACUCCUAUUUCACAAGACAUGACCACAAAACUGUGUCAUCCCAAAGCAGCAGAACUUCUACAAUAUCUACCUUAAUGAUGAUAGCAGUAUUAAUGACAAUAAUAAUAGUUUCUAAAAAUCGACCCAGUUAUUUUUACAUCUGGCACUAUUCUAAGCACUGCAUAUGAAUUAUUUUAAUUUAAUUCUCAUAAAAACCUCAGGUAUCCCCAUUCGCACAUGAGGGAACUGAGACACAGAGAAGUUACGUAGUUUGCCACAGGGAUACGGGCACUUAGCAGGAGAGCCGAGCUUCUGGCCCUAACAGUGUAACUCUAGAGCCUGGGUUCACAAUGUCCCUUUGCCUACCUUUGCCCAACUGCCUGUCUUGCCCUCCCCUGUGUGCCUGAGACGAUUGUGAAUCCAUUCCAGAGGAAUAGCAAGGGCCUAAGUCAAUUGUCUACUGACCUUAUUCCACAAAUUUGAUCAUGGGCCCUCUGUGGAAAACUUGGGCAAGUAAACUUAAAGUGUUUCUUUACUGCCUGGUGCUAAGACCUUUAAUAUUAUUAGUGCAUUUUGUCCACCUCAAAGGAGACCUUAGUAUAUAUACAGUUUCCCAAACUUAUGCAACUAGAGAGAAUCCUCCCCCAGCCCCCCGCCAUAAAACUCUUAACUUCCUUUAAAAAAACAACAAAAACUCAACUUCUUUAAGAACUAGUUUUGUUGUUAGUGUAAUUUGGGGGAAAUGCUAGCUAGUGCUCCUGUGGGGUUCCCAAGAAAUUUCUCAGGUCCUAAAAAUUUGGGUAAUACUUUUGACCCUAUCUUAUUUAGCUGGAGUGUCUUUAGUGCUUAAGUACUUAAGUAGAGUCUUCAGUAACUACACACAUUUACCUGGGAUAGUUACAGAUCUGCUGUCACCAUCUAAUUACUAAUAGUGCUCUUUUCAAAGGUACCCCAUUUAGAGGAUAAGCUCUAUGAUUGCCCUAAUCAUAGCACUUAUAUCCGCCCCCCCAUCCCCAU
Molecule: long non-coding RNA, 4365 nt
Organism: Myotis myotis
Lineage: Eukaryota; Metazoa; Chordata; Mammalia; Chiroptera; Vespertilionidae
Exons: 2
Source: RefSeq, a predicted model, not a curated record